Molecule: ribosomal RNA, 253 nt
Filed under: uncultured bacterium
Lineage: Bacteria
Description: partial 16S ribosomal RNA
Rfam family: Bacterial small subunit ribosomal RNA
Source: RNAcentral
UACGAAGGGGGCUAGCGUUGUUCGGAAUUACUGGGCGUAAAGCGCACGUAGGCGGAUAUUUAAGUCAGGGGUGAAAUCCCGGGGCUCAACCCCGGAACUGCCUUUGAUACUGGGUAUCUCGAGUCCGAGAGAGGUGAGUGGAAUUCCGGGUGUAGAGGUGAAAUUCGUAGAUAUUCGGAGGAACACCAGUGGCGAAGGCGGCUCACUGGCUCGGUACUGACGCUGAGGUGCGAAAGCGUGGGGAGCAAACAGG